This 502-nucleotide ribosomal RNA is filed under the name uncultured bacterium. RNAcentral's name for it is "bacterial SSU rRNA". It matches the Rfam family "Bacterial small subunit ribosomal RNA", at positions 29 to 521 of the family's 1533-position model. The record is from RNAcentral.
AACGAACGCUGGCGGCGCGCCUAAUACAUGCAAGUCGAGCGAGAAGGUGUAGCAAUACACUUGUAAAGCGGCGAACGGGUGAGGUAUGCAUGGGUAACCUACCCUCGAGUGGGGAAUAACUAGCCGAAAGGUUAGCUAAUACCGCAUACGUUUCCGGAACUUCGGUUUCGGAAAGAAAGCAAUACCGUGGGUAUUGCGCUCCUGGAUGGGCUCAUGUCCUAUCAGCUUGUUGGUGAGGUAACGGCUCACCAAGGCUUCGACGGGUAGCUGGUCUGAGAGGACGAUCAGCCACACUGGCACUGCGACACGGGCCAGACUCCUACGGGAGGCAGCAGUAAGGAAUAUUGGUCAAUGGACGCAAGUCUGAACCAGCCAUGCCGCGUGAAGGAUUAAGGUCCUCUGGAUUGUAAACUUCUUUUAUCUGGACGUAAAAGGCGACUCUUCGUCACUUGACGGUACCAGAUGAAUAAGCACCGGCUAACUCCGUGCCAGCAGCCGCGGU